RNAcentral lists this ribosomal RNA (497 nucleotides) under uncultured bacterium. RNAcentral's name for it is "partial 16S ribosomal RNA". It matches the Rfam family "Bacterial small subunit ribosomal RNA", at positions 28 to 507 of the family's 1533-position model. The record is from RNAcentral.
GAUGAACGCUGGCGGCGUGCCUAAUACAUGCAAGUCGAGCGAACAGAUGAGGAGCUUGCUCCUCUGACGUUAGCGGCGGACGGGUGAGUAACACGUGGAUAACCUACCUAUAAGACUGGGAUAACUUCGGGAAACCGGAGCUAAUACCGGAUAAUAUAUUGAACCGCAUGGUUCAAUAGUGAAAGACGGUUUUGCUGUCACUUAUAGAUGGAUCCGCGCCGCAUUAGCUAGUUGGUAAGGUAACGGCUUACCAAGGCAACGAUGCGUAGCCGACCUGAGAGGGUGAUCGGCCACACGGGAACGGAGACACGGUCCAGACUCCUACGGGAGGCAGCAGUAGGGAAUCUUCCGCAAUGGGCGAAGGCCUGACGGAGCAACGCCGCGUGAGUGAUGAAGGUCUUCGGAUCGUAAAACUCUGUUAUUAGGGAAGAACAAAUGUGUAAGUAACUAUGCACGUCUUGACGGUACCUAAUCAGAAAGCCACGGCUAACUACGUG